RNAcentral lists this ribosomal RNA (468 nucleotides) under uncultured bacterium. RNAcentral's name for it is "partial 16S ribosomal RNA". It matches the Rfam family "Bacterial small subunit ribosomal RNA", at positions 28 to 507 of the family's 1533-position model. The record is from RNAcentral.
GACGAACGCUGGCGGCGUGCUUAACACAUGCAAGUCGAACGGAAAGGCCCUGCUUUUGUGGGGUGCUCGAGUGGCGAACGGGUGAGUAACACGUGAGUAACCUGCCCUUGACUUUGGGAUAACUUCAGGAAACUGGGGCUAAUACCGGAUAGGAUCUCCUGCUGCAUGGUGGGGGUUGGAAAUUUUCGGCGGUUGGGGAUGGACUCGCGGCUUAUCAGCUUGUUGGUGGGGUUGUGGCUUACCAAGGCUUUGACGGGUAGCCGGCCUGAGAGGGUGACCGGCAAAAUUGGGACUGAGAUACGGCCCAGAAUCCAACGGGAGGCAGCAGUGGGGAAUAUUGCACAAUGGGCGGAAGCAUGAUGCAGCAACGCCGCGUGCGGGAUGACGGCCUUCGGGUUGUAAACAGCUUUCGCCUGUGACGAAGCGUGAGUGACGGUAAUGGGUAAAGAAGCACCGGCUAACUACGUG